This 168-nucleotide ribosomal RNA is filed under the name Porocottus tentaculatus. RNAcentral's name for it is "partial 12S rRNA". Lineage: Eukaryota; Metazoa; Chordata; Actinopteri; Perciformes; Cottidae. The record is from RNAcentral.
CACCGCGGUUAUACGAGAGGCCCAAGUUGACAAACACCGGCGUAAAGCGUGGUUACGUAAAACUCAUACUAAAGCCAAACAUCUUCCAGGCUGUUAUACGCACCCGGAGACAGGAAGUUCAACCACGAAAGUGGCUUUAUCUAAGCCGAACCCACGAAAGCUAAGGAA